This 584-nucleotide ribosomal RNA is filed under the name Russula gelatinivelata. Its description in RNAcentral is "eukaryotic LSU rRNA". It matches the Rfam family "Eukaryotic large subunit ribosomal RNA", at positions 97 to 657 of the family's 3401-position model. The record is from RNAcentral. Lineage: Eukaryota; Fungi; Basidiomycota; Agaricomycetes; Russulales; Russulaceae.
AGCGGGAAAAGCUCAAAUUUAAAAUCUGAUGGCCUUUGGUUAUCCGAGUUGUAAUUUAGAGAAGCGUUUUCCGCGCUGGACCAUGCAUAAGUCUCCUGGAAUGGAGCGUCAUAGAGGGUGAGAAUCCCGUCUUUGGCAUGGAUCCCAGGGCUUCUGUGAUGCGCUCUCAAAGAGUCGAGUUGUUUGGGAAUGCAGCUCAAAAUGGGUGGUGAACUCCAUCUAAAGCUAAAUAUUGGCGAGAGACCGAUAGCGAACAAGUACCGUGAGGGAAAGAUGAAAAGCACUUUGGAAAGAGAGUGAAACAGUACGUGAAAUUGUUGAAAGGGAAACGCUUGAAGUCAGUCGCGUUGACCGAGACUCAGCCUUGCCUCGGCUUGGUGUACUUCUCGGCUGACGGGUCAGCAUCAAUUUUGAUCCUUGGAUAAUGGCAAGGGAAAGGUGGCACCUUUAGGUGUGUUAUAGUCCUUUGUCGGAUACAAGGGUUGGGAUUGAGGAACUCAGCAUGCACCUCACGGUGUCGGGGCCUCUGGCUCACGUUACAUGCUUAGGAUGCUGGCGUAAUGGCUUUAAACGACCCGUCUUGA